GGGUUGCUAACUCAACGGUAGAGUACUCGGCUUUUAAUUUUUUUUUUUUAACAACGAAAUUAUCUACUCCA
RNAcentral lists this transfer RNA (71 nucleotides) under Beta vulgaris subsp. vulgaris (sugar beet). RNAcentral describes it as "tRNA-Lys". Lineage: Eukaryota; Viridiplantae; Streptophyta; Magnoliopsida; Caryophyllales; Amaranthaceae. The record is from RNAcentral.